Molecule: long non-coding RNA, 351 nt
Organism: Carlito syrichta (Philippine tarsier)
Lineage: Eukaryota; Metazoa; Chordata; Mammalia; Primates; Tarsiidae
Exons: 2
Source: RefSeq, a predicted model, not a curated record
GGCUCAGCCUGUAAUCCAGUGCUUUGGGAGGCUGAGGGACCUUUCUACUACUGGGCACUAAAUCAAAAGCAUAUAGCUGAGGUAAAAUGGGUGCCAUAUGGAAACAUUUUGAGAAAAAUGAAAGUGUAAAAACAUCAGACAGAAAUUAAGAUGUGUUUCUGAAAGUUGCAUGAAGUGUCCAGCCUCUCCUACCUCUCCUCGUCUCUUCCGUCUCUGUCAACCAAAACAGCAAGACGAUGCUCUCCUGUUUCAGCUCAUCCUCAGCUUCUCAUGGUGAAGAUGGCAAGGAAGGAGAACUUUAUGAUGGCCCAAUUCCAUUUAAUGAACAAUAAAGAUAUACUUUCUACUUCA